Molecule: ribosomal RNA, 500 nt
Filed under: uncultured bacterium
Lineage: Bacteria
Description: bacterial SSU rRNA
Rfam family: Bacterial small subunit ribosomal RNA
Source: RNAcentral
AUUGAACGCUGGCGGCAUGCUUUACACAUGCAAGUCGAGCGGCAGCGCGGGGGCAACCCCUGGCGGCGAGCGGCGAACGGGUGAGUAAUGCAUCGGAACGUACCCUGGAGUGGGGGAUAACGCCGCGAAAGCGGCGCUAAUACCGCAUAUGCUCUGAGGAGGAAAGUGGGGGACCGCAAAGGCCUCACGCUCUGGGAGCGGCCGAUGUCCGAUUAGCUAGUUGGUGGGGUAAAGGCUUACCAAGGCGACGAUCGGUAGCUAGUCUGAGAGGAUGAUCAGCCACACUGGGACUGAGACACGGCCCAGACUCCUACGGGAGGCAGCAGUGGGGAAUUUUGGACAAUGGGGGCAACCCUGAUCCAGCCAUGCCGCGUGAGUGAAGAAGGCCUCCGGGUUGUAAAGCUCUUUGGUCGGGAAGAAGCGCCUUGCCUAAUACGCGAGGUGGUUGACGUACCGGCAGAUAAGCACCGGGCUAACUACGUGCCAGCAGCCGCGGUAAU